Mastomys coucha (southern multimammate mouse) is the source of this 2161-nucleotide long non-coding RNA. RefSeq lists it as uncharacterized. The record is from RefSeq and is a predicted model, not a curated record. The transcript is spliced from 2 exons. Lineage: Eukaryota; Metazoa; Chordata; Mammalia; Rodentia; Muridae.
UGGGGGUGGAGCUAGAACCUGCAGGAUUCCCUGGAGACUAGAGUAAAGAAAGGUCACCGGCUCAGCAUGAGUAAUUCUCUAUCUAGUGCUGCUCCAUCAACGAUACAUUCAGAAGGAUUUGGAAUCAGAAAAAAACCUAGUUGGGUCCCUCAGGUCCUCCGUGGACCCUGGGUGCUCAAGCACAAGGUCCUCAACCUGCUCAUCCUCAAAGCCUGCUUCUGGCUCCAAUUACUCUCCAUCUUGUUGGAUGGAUGCUCCUUUCUUGCCUAGAAGCUAACUAGCAACUAGGUACAUGGCGCCACUUGCUGGUCGUCCCUGGAAGCAAGGCAGCAGUGACUAGUGGCGAGUCUCAACUGAGUUCCAGACAAAUCUAUCUCUUCAAGCAGGUGUGAGCCUAGGAUCCAUCUCUCAUCACCCUCUGGUGUCCUGGGGAUCAAAUGAGUUCUGAGAUAGAAAGAACCACAGAACACAGCAUGCCCAGAUUAUCAGUCUGUCAUGUGACCUUAGCCAGCCAUUGGCAUCUCUGGACUACAAUGCCUGUCCAUGACAUGGAGUUUGUGUGAGAUUCCCCAUUGGGGUUCUUGAACAGCAAGCGUUAGCCCUGUCCUAGACAGGACAAUUCCAUCAAAUCUGAGGAAGAAGAACACCCCAGAAAUACAGUGCCACAUGUCUCUCAGCAUCUAUGUGAUUUAAGGCAACCUGGUGCAGAAGGACUCCACCACCACUAGCCAAGAAGCAGGAGCUAGGCCCACCAAUACUAUUCUGCAAUCAAGCCCAAGGCAGAACACUGCAGCUAACCUGCCCUCCUCUGAUGUGGAGAAGAGCCCAGGGCUCCUAGACAUACAUCAGAGGAAGACAGCUGGGGACCAGAGCUACCCACAAGGCACUGCGGAUACCGGCCUCUUCACCCUUUGACACACAGAGGUCUCCACAGUGAACCAGCCACUCAGAAUGCAACCUUUCCUGAAGCUGGCUAUCCGGGGAAAUUAGUGCUAGACCAGAAGGGCUUGGUGGGCGAGGAUGGUGGACCUCAGUCUGGGACAGCUAAGCUCACAGCCCAGCUUUCCCAUUUGGCAUGACAACCUCCAUGUUCCGUCUUCCCAUUGGCUAAGCACAGCCAGGUCUACCUCUCAGGGUCUGCUGGAAAUGAAACCGGCUCCCACCACGCCAUCUUUCCAGGAGGAAGCCUGGAUCCACAGCGACACAUCCAUCACCAAGGGCUUAAUCUAGAAGAGACUUCAACGUCUUGCCCCAUCAAGAGCGUGUAUAACAGCACACUCCCAGCUCUUCCCUCUGCCUGUGAUUUUACUGAGCGCUUACUGUAUGCAAACAGUACUAGCCAGUAGGGCUGGAAUGACAGGAAAGGUAGUCUGAAUGCUACAGCCCAAGGUCUACAAGGGAGUCAGGAGAUGGACAGACAUCAAACUGACAGACUCACAGCCAAGCUGCCGAAGGACCAUAUGACCAGAAAGGAAUGAAUCUGAGUGGUCAGAGAAUUAUCUUUGGCUCUCUUCCUCCACGCUGGUCAUAAGGGUGGCGUGUCGCAGCUAUUGUGGACUCUGAGGCAAAGCUGAUGGGUAAGGGGGUGGGCAUCGUUCUUGAGAACUCGGCUUGUAUAAAGACAGAGGGAAUAUUCAUCCUGUUUUAAGAACUUUAGUUAUCUAGCUGCUUCUCUGCCCUCCAAACCCUCUGAACCACAUGCCUAGAAUUAGUAAGGAGUGGGCCAGUAGGAACCAGUAGGAACCCUGGUGAGAGGAGUCUGGGCAGGUUUUGGUUGAAUUCAUUUGAGUGGAAGGGAUUAGCAGGAGAUAGAAGACUUGUUAAAUAAAUCAAGUUGGAGAUAAAUAUGGGGUGACAAGCUGGGAAUGAUCUUUAGGGCCAUCUGCAGGCACAGCUCUCAAGAUGCAACAGAUGAAUUCAGCAGUUAAAGACAGGCCUGAGAGAAGGGGCUCAAAGCCAGGAGACCCAACCUCCACACCAGUGACGCCUCAAGUCCAGCCCUCAGCUAACCCAGACUAGGUCACUCAAAGACUUCAGAGUUGGCGACCAAGGGAUCAGGCUUGAAAUCUACCUCUGACUAAUGGAGAUGGCCAGGCAAGCUCUCUGGGACCUUCGCAUCUUAGUAUACUAAAGGGACAAUGACAAUGGGUGAAACAAUAUU